RNAcentral lists this ribosomal RNA (252 nucleotides) under uncultured prokaryote. RNAcentral's name for it is "partial 16S ribosomal RNA". It matches the Rfam family "Bacterial small subunit ribosomal RNA", at positions 523 to 774 of the family's 1533-position model. The record is from RNAcentral.
AUACGUAGGGUGCAAGCGUUGUCCGGAAUUAUUGGGCGUAAAGAGCUCGUAGGCGGCUUGUCGCGUCGGUUGUGAAAGCCCGGGGCUUAACCCCGGGUCUGCAGUCGAUACGGGCAGGCUAGAGUUCGGCAGGGGAGACUGGAAUUCCUGGUGUAGCGGUGAAAUGCGCAGAUAUCAGGAGGAACACCGGUGGCGAAGGCGGGUCUCUGGGCCGAUACUGACGCUGAGGAGCGAAAGCGUGGGGAGCGAACA